CCUACGGGAGGCUGCAGUGGGGAAUAUUGCACAAUGGGGGAAACCCUGAUGCAGCAACGCCGCGUGAGGGAAGACGGUUUUCGGAUUGUAAACUUCUGUUCUCAGGGAAGAACAAUGACGGUAGCUAACGAGCAAGCCACGGCUAACUACGUGCCAGCAGCCGCGGUAAUACGUAGGUGGCAAGCGUUGUCCGGAAUUACUGGGUGUAAAGGGAGCGCAGGCGGGGAGCUAAGUCAGCUGUGAAAGCUACGGGCUUAACUUGUAGACUGCAUUUGAAACUGGUGUUCUUGAGUGAAGGAGGGGUUGGCGGAAUUCCGAGUGUAGCGGUGAAAUGCGUAGAUAUUCGGAGGAACACCGGUGGCGAAGGCGGCCAACUGGGCGUUAACUGACGCUGAGGCUCGAAAGUGUGGGGAGCAAACAGGAUUAGAUACCCGGGUAGUC
Molecule: ribosomal RNA, 441 nt
Filed under: uncultured bacterium
Lineage: Bacteria
Description: partial 16S ribosomal RNA
Rfam family: Bacterial small subunit ribosomal RNA
Source: RNAcentral